AUCAGUAGGGGUUCUGAGAGGAAGGUCCCCCACAUUGGAACUGAGACACGGUCCAAACUCCUACGGGAGGCAGCAGUGAGGAAUAUUGGUCAAUGGGCGAGAGCCUGAACCAGCCAAGUAGCGUGCAGGAAGACGGCCCUAUGGGUUGUAAACUGCUUUUAUAAGGGAAUAAAGUUAGUCUCGUGAGACUUUUUGCAUGUACCUUAUGAAUAAGGACCGGCUAAUUCCGUGCCAGCAGCCGCGGUAAUACGGAAGGUCCGGGCGUUAUCCGGAUUUAUUGGGUUUAAAGGGAGCGUAGGCCGGAGAUUAAGCGUGUUGUGAAAUGUAGACGCUCAACGUCUGCACUGCAGCGCGAACUGGUUUCCUUGAGUACGCACAAAGUGGGCGGAAUUCGUGGUGUAGCGGUGAAAUGCUUAGAUAUCACGAAGAACUCUGAUUGCGAAGGCAGCUCACUGGAGCGCAACUGACGCUGAAGCUCGAAAGUGCGGGUAUCGAACAGGAUUAGAUACCCUGGUAGUCCGCACGGUAAACGAUGGAUGCCCGCUGUUGGUCUGAACAGGUCAGCGGCCAAGCGAAAGCAUUAAGCAUCCCACCUGGGGAGUACGCCGGCAACGGUGAAACUCAAAGGAAUUGACGGGGGCCCGCACAAGCGGAGGAACAUGUGGUUUAAUUCGAUGAUACGCGAGGAACCUUACCCGGGCUUGAAUUGCAGAGGAAGGAUUUGGAGACAAUGACGCCCUUCGGGGUCUCUGUGAAGGUGCUGCAUGGUUGUCGUCAGCUCGUGCCGUGAGGUGUCGGCUUAAGUGCCAUAACGAGCGCAACCCCUCUCCUUAGUUGCCAUCAGGUUAAGCUGGGCACUCUGGGGACACUGCCACCGUAAGGUGUGAGGAAGGUGGGGAUGACGUCAAAUCAGCACGGCCCUUACGUCCGGGGCUACACACGUGUUACAAUGGCAGGUACAGAGAGACGGUUGUACGUAAGUACGAUCAAAUCCUUAAAGCCUGUCUCAGUUCGGACUGGGGUCUGCAACCCGACCCCACGAAGCUGGAUUCGCUAGUAAUCGCGCAUCAGCCAUGGCGCGGUGAAUACGUUCCCGGGCCUUGUACACACCGCCCGUCAAGCCAUGAAAGCCGGGGGCGCCUAAAGUCCGUGACCGUAAGGAGCGGCCUAGGGCGAAACUGGUAAUUGGGGCUAAGUCGUAACAAGGUA
Molecule: ribosomal RNA, 1209 nt
Filed under: metagenome
Description: bacterial SSU rRNA
Rfam family: Bacterial small subunit ribosomal RNA
Source: RNAcentral